This 256-nucleotide long non-coding RNA is filed under the name Hordeum vulgare. RNAcentral describes it as "long non-coding RNA (HVUL_LNC001135)". The record is from RNAcentral. Lineage: Eukaryota; Viridiplantae; Streptophyta; Magnoliopsida; Poales; Poaceae.
GCAUAUGAAUCACAACAUAUGAUAGAAAUAAGUCUCACACUAGUCCAAGUCUCACAUCACACAAAGAAAAGAUAGCAGAUAAGAGCAAACCAAGUUCAAAGCAAACACGAUAAAGAUAAGCAACGCUAAAGCAAAGCGCAAAGCGAAAAUCUAGCUCCUAGACUCUCUCCCCCUUUGACACAAGACACCAAAAAGGGGCACACCUAAUGACAUAGGUGGUCACUCCGCAUCCUCAUCAGCCCCAGACUCGUCCGUG